Molecule: ribosomal RNA, 460 nt
Filed under: uncultured bacterium
Lineage: Bacteria
Description: partial 16S ribosomal RNA
Rfam family: Bacterial small subunit ribosomal RNA
Source: RNAcentral
CCUACGGGUGGCAGCAGUGAGGAAUAUUGGUCAAUGGACGAGAGUCUGAACCAGCCAAGUAGCGUGAAGGAUGACUGCCCUAUGGGUUGUAAACUUCUUUUAUAUGGGAAUAAAACGUUCCACGUGUGGGAUUUUGUAUGUACCAUAUGACUAAGGAUCGGCUAACUCCGUGCCAGCAGCCGCGGUAAUACGGAGGAUCCGAGCGUUAUCCGGAUUUAUUGGGUUUAAAGGGAGCGUAGGUGGAUUGUUAAGUCAGUUGUGAAAGUGUGCGGCUCAACCGUAAAAUUGCAGUUGAAACUGGCAGUCUUGAGUACAGUAGAGGUGGGCGGAAUUCGUGGUGUAGCGGUGAAAUGCUUAGAUAUCACGAAGAACUCCGAUUGCGAAGGCAGUUCACUGGACUGCAACUGACACUGAGGCUCGAAAGUGUGGGUAUCAAACAGGAUUAGAUACCCCUGUAGUC